RNAcentral lists this ribosomal RNA (477 nucleotides) under uncultured bacterium. Its description in RNAcentral is "bacterial SSU rRNA". It matches the Rfam family "Bacterial small subunit ribosomal RNA", at positions 365 to 832 of the family's 1533-position model. The record is from RNAcentral.
UUCGCAAUGCCCGAAAGGGUGACGAAGCGACGCCGCGUGGAUGAAGAAGGCCUUCGGGUUGUAAAAUCCUGUCAGGAGUUAAGAAAUAUAAGUUUGAUAAUACCAAACUUAUUUGACAAAAGCUCCAGAGGAAGCCACGGCUAACUCUGUGCCAGCAGCCGCGGUAAUACAGAGGUGGCAAGCGUUGUUCGGAAUUAUUGGGCGUAAAGAGCACGUAGGUGGAUUUGUUAGUCAGAUGUGAAAGCCUUUCGUUCAACGGAAGAAUUGCAUCUGAAACUACAAACCUUGAGUAUAGGAGGGGAGAGUGGAACUUCUGGUGGAGCGGUGAAAUGCGUAGAUAUCAGAAGGAACGCCGGCGGCGAAAGCGACUCUCUGGCCUAUAACUGACACUGAGUGUGCGAAAGCUAGGGGAGCAAACGGGAUUAGAUACCCCGGUAGUCCUAGCCGUAAACGAUGGGCACUAAGUAGAGGGGUUUU